GGGGGGUAGCAUUGAGAUAAGUGACAUGUGUUCUCAUAAGUUUUGAACGCUGCCUGAAAGUGUAGGUUAUUGAACGUUAAAGUCCAUCUUUAGUCCAUUAUUAAAGAGCCUCACAUAUAUAAUCUGUUGUUUACUCCUAAGUGCAGUGACCUACAAAAGAGAAUAACUGAAAGGUUUUGUUCAUUAUGAAUGUGCUGUCACAGGAUAACUGGAGCUUGUUCUAAGAUGAAACACUAUUCAGAACACUGUAAAUAGGAGCCCUAUCAUCUCAUCUUCUGCUGUAGUGAUGCACAGACUGCGCAUUCCCAGGUUUUACUGUGUUGAUCUUUCGCCGGGGCUUUGACUUGCGUAACGCUCGAGCAAACAAGCCCCCUCCAACGUAUGAGGAGAGCAUCCGCCACUCCAUUGAAGUGCCCUUUGACAUUCUGAGGUCUGUAAUAGACACCCCUCAUCCCCAGAACAUUUACCCUCCGCACACUGGCACAGACCUUACCACUCAGUCAGAGGUAACCACUCAGUGCCCAUCCACUCAGGAUGCCAACAGUGCCACCCUACCAGUCUGAAUCCUCAGACUCGCUACUGACACACGAUGACAAGGACAACUGGAGUAUUGAUGCUUUUUAUCCACCUUGAUGUGCCAAACUGGUCAGAGGAUAACAGACAGGGGAAAUGCACACAUUCUCCAUAGGUUGAAUCAGACCCAGCAGCCAAUGGGUUGACUGUACUGUAGGAACAUCCUGCAGUGACAGUAUGCUGGAAGAUAGUGAAAUUCUACAUUGUGGGUUACUCCAUACUGACAAACUUGAAUGUCUAAACACCUCUUGUCAGUUGUGAUUUUAAACUGGAGCCUAAAUAAGACUGAUGAACUGGGAAGACUUGGAUUGCCAUUCUUCAGUGAAAAGGGAAACCGUCCUGUAGAUGACCAAUACCAUGACUAUAUGUGUCUGAGGUGGCAGGUUCUAAUGCCAAAGUUAACUGUAAGAGGAGACAGGCCAGGUAGAAAGACACUCCAUGACAAAUGUGCUGCUGAAAAACAAAGACCAUUUUGCUGUGAACAGAAAAAGCACCAAAAAGGAUGAACGAUCUUUAGAUUUAAAAAAAAUGUUUCUCAUAUUUUCUACAUUUGAUCAUUUUAUGGAUUAAAGUAAUCUGGAUGAUUGUUUUUUGGGGAACUGUGUUGUAGCGAGUCGUUUUCUGAGUAAAACCACUCUCCUCUUUUAGUGCAAUGUCUGAGCCAAAAACGUAUAAGCGUGAGUUGUAAAAUGCUCCUAUGUCCUACCCUGCUGAACUUGGGUUGUACAGUUGAGCCAGCUACAAUUUGUGUGUUAGUCUUGGAACCUGUGAAGAGUGAGUCAACAACACCAAUCAUGUGUUGGCUCUGGUAACGGGUCUUAAAAGCCCAAUGCAGCCGUUUUUUUUAUAUCAAAUCAUUUAUGGGUAACAAUAAUGUACCUUACUGUAAUGGUUUUCCAUUAAAAUGAUCUAAAUUGUUUUUUUUGUUGCUUUUAAGCGUUAAACGUUUUAACAAGCAAUAAUUGUGGUCUGAGUGGGGAGGAGAAAAGGGAAAACUAGUUGUUAUUGUUAGAGAGGUUUGGAACUCUUUAUUAUUAAUCUAUUAACUCAUUUACCACCUGGUGAUGUCACCAGGCAAGACAAAACUCCACCCAUGCAAAACCUGCUGGGUAGAAGGUCCUUUGUAGAAUGUAUUUUCAACCAGGAAAUAAUACUGAUCAAAUCUUGUUAGUUUCAUCAGCUGUUGUACAAUAUGAUGCAAAACACAAACUGAAUUUUUACUGCACGGGGCCUUUAAGAUACAAUUCAGCAUUGGGAUUGUGGGAAGCGGUAAGGAGCUAGCUUUGUUUAUUCAAGACCUCUGUGAACAGUGAAUGAGAAUAGUUGUGUAAAAAGCUUAUUUUUUGUUGUUGAUUAACUGGGCUGCCUGUUUUAACAGUCCCUGCACAAGCUUGAGAAGAAACCAGUAUGAAUGACAAGAAAAAGUAUGUAAUAUUUCCCUCACAUAAUGUCUGAAACAAAAGUAUGUAAUAUUUCCCUCACAUCAUGUCUGAAACAAAAGUAUGUAAUAUUUCCCUCACAUAAUGUCUGAAACAAAAGUAUGUAAUAUUUCCCUCACAUAAUGUCUGAAACAAAAGUAUGUAAUAUUUCCCUCACAUAAUGUCUGAAACAAAAGUAUGUAAUAUUUCCCUCACAUCAUGUCUGAAACAAAAGUAUGAGGUUUCAACAGCCGUUAGCAAGUUCUAUUCAAAAGACAUAAAUUCCUGUCUGUCACGUAAACUAAUUGAGAUGGUGGUGGCUUCUAGAUAAAGACAUGUUUAACAUAGAGCCUGUGUGCGGUCUCUGUCUGGCCUUAAUGUCCACUAGUGUCCUUUUCACCUCAUUUAACACAUGAUUUACUAAACAAAAGGCACAUCUCAAUAGGUGGUCCAGGUAUGACAUGAACAAGCAGGGGGAGGGGCAGGUGGUACUUUCCUCUUUUGCUCUCCAUUGUUCCUCAAACAAGGAGGAGGCUGAUGACAUCACAUCUGACCAUCUCCUUUUAUUUUAUUUAUUUAACCUUUAUUUAACUAGGCAAGUCCGUUAAGAACAAAUUCUUAUUUACAAUAACGGCCUAGGAACAGUGGGUUAACUGCCUUGUUCAGGGGCAGAACGACAGAUUUUUACCUUGUCAGCUCGGGGAUUCGAUCUAGCAACCUUUCGGUUACUGGCCCAACGCUCUAACUACUAGGCUACCUGCCGCCCCAAACCUGCCACUCCAAAAU
Molecule: long non-coding RNA, 2777 nt
Organism: Oncorhynchus tshawytscha (Chinook salmon)
Lineage: Eukaryota; Metazoa; Chordata; Actinopteri; Salmoniformes; Salmonidae
Source: Ensembl